UCCUGCGGAUCGUCCUCGAACGAGUUCGGAUCCUCUACCACACAAUCAGCUUCUAAUAACGUCGUACGUUGCCAUACAAAGAGAAAACAUACACCAAUAAAUAAACAUGCACCAUUCAACAAACAAUAAAACAUACACUUUACAAAUCAUACAUAUAAAAGGAAGACGUCUAGAAAUAAAACUUGAUUUGUAAUUAUAAUAUAAGUCCAUCCAUAUCGACGAUCGUCUCAUUUGCUACGAGGUAAACUACUAAUAAUUUAGUCUCGAGAAUACACUAGAGGAAACUAUAUGGCAAAUUGACUAUGGAUGUAUAUACUAUAUGGAUUCAUUUUAAAAUACAUAAAUAUGGCGCUAAUUCAAACUUUAUAGAAUCUAGAAAAUUAAUUAAUUAAUUAAUUAUUGUAUUUCUACCGAAAGGAUGUGGGUAAUAUUUUGUUAUUUCUUUCUAAAAGAAAAAUUAUAGUAGACGUUACAACAUUAUUUAGAAGUCACAUAACCUUAAUAUUAACAGAACUAAAUUAAACUACUAAUUUAAUUGUACUAUUUAGAUUAUAGUGGACAUAGUCGCUAUAUUAUUUUAAUAUUAAUCGAGACUCCAGCGUGACUUAGUGAAUAAGCAAUUUGUGUAUAAUCGAACAUACGAACACAUACGGUGUGACUAAAAUAUAUAAUUCAUCCUGAGCAAAGACAACCGUAGAAUUAUUCAUCUAGUAUUAUUGUUACAAAUAUAUGGUUUACCUAUCCCUUAAUCUUUUACUCUAACAAACUAUAUUUAAAUUAAUGUCAACAAUCAUAAUCAAAUUAAAAUACACAAAGGCGAAAGACAGCAUACACUAAUUAAAAUAGAUCAUCACAUACAUAUGAAAUUAAUCGUUCAGUAUAAACAUGAUUUCAGACUCAAAAUUCACAACUAAAAAUUAUAAUUCGCCACAGAAGUUAGAUCGUGAUUAACUAACUCUUUUGAACUAAGAAAUAAUCUCACGCAAAAUAAUCUAUCUAUAGGGAUUAGACAGCAAAAUAUUCUUUUUCUACCUCUCCUUUCUCUUGUGCAGUGAACGAGGACGAAUGGGGCAGGUAGUCGGGUGUCGGGGGAAGGUCGUUGGGACGCAGUGUCGGCUUCGGAGUUCCGGUCGACGGUGAACGGCUCUAGCGGCGAGCGGCUCCGGUGUCGACAGCACAACAGCUAUCGGGAGCGGCUCCGGUCAGCGGUGAACGGCGAGGACCAAGCCACAGAGGAGGGAGUUCGAUGGAGGUGCGGCUGGGGAGCUCGGAGUGGGCUUGGGACGGAUGGGGACUGGCUCUAUGGGGGCACGGUCGAGUUUUGUAGAGGUGUGGGAAGGUGUAACAGACGCCGGUAGAGCUUCAUUGGCCAAUAAUGGCGCGGUGGCGGUGUUACUGCAGAGGAACGGUCGCUUGAAUGAGGACGUGAGUGGGGAGAGAAGAGGAGAAACGGUAGCCGAAGGCGCUCCACGUAAGGCGAGCAGUCGAGGAGACGCAGGGAUGAGCCAGCGUGGUGCUUGACGAGUCCAUGCGAGCGGCGGCGCGUUCGUGUGGUCUGGAUUCUGGAAGCAACGAUGGAGAAGAAAAUAGCCUUGACGUGUGGGGUCCACAAGUAAGAGAGACAAAAAGAAGGGAGAGGAACGUGACUGCAAGAAGCUGUCCGCCCAGGUUAGUUGGCCGAGCGGCCGUUUUUCAUUUUUUUCAUUUCUCUUUUUUUUUCUUUUUGUUAAUUUCGAAAUUCUUUUUUUCUUUUAUUUUUUUCAAUAAGUUAUUCAUUAAUAAAUAUACUUUAAAUAUUACAAAAGUAUUAUAAAUCUAAUAAUAAAAUUCAUAGUAAAUAAUCUUUAGGCAAAUUUCUAUUAUUUAUAUAAAUUUGGCCUCACAAAAAAGAAUAAAUUAAAAUAAUUUGUUGCAAUUCAUUAACAAACAAAACAACAACAAAAAAACCAUGCUCCUAAAAAAUGAAUGCAUCAAACAUUUGUGACCAAUAUAUAUUCAAAAGUUAAUUAUUUAUUUAUCAUUUUUUUAAUUCUUGAGAAUAACAUUUUCCUAUCUAAUACAUUCAACAACUAAAAUUGAAUCAUCAUUUUUUUUAAUUGAUGGAUUUGAGGUGUUACAGUCAAACUCUUUUAUAACUUAACCAAGUACAGAUAAAAUAAUAUGCCCUGUUUUCAAGUCGUCGACUAGUCCGCGACUAGUCGGCAACUAGUCGUCCGUUCGGUUUUGAGAGAUCGACUUGGGAACCGGCUCGCCUUUUCUGGCAAGUCGGGCGACUUGUCAACGACUGGAAUUUCUCAGACGACUGGAAUUUCUCAGACGACUAAUCGUCGACUUGUUCUAGCUAGUCGGCCGACUUGUCCCCAAUUCGGCCCAAGCAGCCCAUUACACAACUUAAACCCUAACCUAAAGCCGCCCCUCAUCUGCAGCCGCCCGCCCCUCCUCUGCACAGAGCAGGCCGCCCCUCCUCUCAAGCCGUCGGAAGCCCCUCCUCUCACGCCGCCGGCCGCCCCUCUCACGCCGUCGGCCACCCCUCCUCGCUUGCCGCCCUUCCUCUCACACCGCCCCUCCACUGCAAUCUGCAGUCUGCACGCCACCCUCAUCAAUCUGCAGGAACCUAGUGACUUGGUGAGUGCUUCUCCCCCUCUCCCGCCCUCGCAACAAGCUCGCCCGGCCUCUGCUCACCCUCCCCCGCCCUCUCAUCGAUCUGCAGGAGGCCUUGAAGAGAUGGAAGAUGCAUCUGCAGAUCGACCACAAGGGGAGUUAGGAAGCCAGCAGCCAUACGAUCAAAGAUCCUAAGAGAAAGGCAAAAUCGAAGGAUCCAGCAUGGAACUAUUGUUAUUGGCCGGAUUUGAACAAAAAUAUGUGGUGAAGUGCAUCCUUUGUGGCAAAAUUGUUCAUGCAGGUGUUAGAAGGUUGAAGCAGCACCUUGUUGGUGGUCAUGGUUUGGACUCUAUGUGCUGCUCACUGUUUGGACCUCAUGCUUGAGGACAUUGGGAAAAUUGGAGAGUUCAAGAAAUGCAUUUCCCAUGCUCGCCAAGUGACAACCUUCAUAUAUGGGCAUGGCAAACUUCUUGAUGCCAUGAGGGAGAAGAUAUGGGGUGAUUUAGUGAGACCUGCAGUUACAAGAUUUGCUACAUCUUUCCUAACUCUCCAGUCCAUAUAUAAGCAUAAGCAAGCUUUGAGAUGCCUCUCUGUUAGUGAUGAUUGGACUAGGUCCAAGUUAUCAAGCACAAAAGGAGAAAAGAAGGUCACAGAGAUACUUCUUUCUACAAACUUUUGGAACUCAGUCCAAGAUUGUAUUCUUGCAUCACAACCACUGUCCACUCAUUGUGUUGCGAAUUGUUGAUGGUGAUGAAAAGCCAGCCAUACCAGAGGUUGCCGCUGCCAUGGAUAUGGCAAAAGCAAAGAUCACUUCGGGUUUUGAAGGUAGAGAGGCAAUGAAGAGGAAGUUGCUUGCUAUUAUUAAUCGGAAGUGGCAAGAUCAAAUGGAGGUGAAGUUGUAUGGGGCUGCAUUGUUUUUAAAUCCAAAUAAGUUCUUUGAACUUCAAAAAAAUGAUCCAACAAAAAAGGGAGGUUGGUAAGCUGAGGGCAGCAUUCCAUGAGGUGCUAUGGAAGAUGGUUGAAGAUUAUGACCUUCAAGCUAUAAUCAGUAAACAAGCUGAUGAGUAUAUGAAUAUGGAUGACCCUGCCUUCUCAUCGCCAUUAGCAAUUAGAGAACAGCAAAAAAAGAGCCCCAUUUGUUGGUGGGAUGCAUAUGGUGGCCUUGCAUUUGAGAUUCAAUCCUUUGCAAAGCGCAUUGUUAGCCUUUGUUGUUCCGCUUCCGGAUGUGAGCGCAAUUGGAGCACUUUUGAAUUUAUGCAUACCAAAAAAAGGAACAGAUUGGAGCACCAAAGGUUAAACAAUUUGGUUUAUAUCCAAUACAAUAGAAAGAUGACAACUAAGUUCCAAAGAUUGCGUGAAGAGGGAAAUAUUGGUAACCCUUUAAUUUUAGAGGAUUUCCAAUGGGACAAUGAGUGGGUGGACAAUCAAAAUGAAACAGUUAGAGAAGGGGAUGAUCUUGCAUGGGCUCAUGUGGAUGAUGCAAUCGGUGCUUCUAAUUCACUUCAAGGUCGCAACUUCCCAAGAAGAGCCCGAUAUGAGUCUGUUUAUUCAAGGCGUUGUUAAGCUGCUGCUACACAGGAGGAGAGAGUUAUGGAAGAGGAAGAGCAAGGCAACAAGGGCAAUGAACAAGAUGAUGAAGAGUACAUGCCUAAUGAUGAUGAAGUGGAUGACUUUGAUGAAUCCCCACAUAGCAGUCCAACUCAAGCUGGUGCUGGUGGUGAAGAAAAUGCAAUGGAUGAUCUUGAUUUGGGAGAUAUUUAGGGUAUCUAGUAUCUAUCUAGCUACAGCAGCAGCUUAGCUAUCUAAUGGAGCUUAUUUUCUUUCAGGUUUGAACUAUAUUUUCUUACUAUUUGUUUUCCAAUUUGAACUAUAUGGCUGUUAUGACUUAUGAGUUUAUGACUUAUCACUUAUGUGACUGAUUUGGUUCAGUUUGAGGCUUCAAAUGAGGUAAGACUUGCUGUUUAUUUCAGUUUCGUUCAAUUUCAGACUUCAAAUAAGGUAAAAUAUCCUCUUUCUUCAUAUAUAUAAAUGCUAUAUUGUCUAUAUGAAGCCAUUAUAUAGGCAAAACAGCCACUAUAUUGGCAAGUCGACGACUAGUCGACUGACUAAUCGACUAGUCACCAAGUCGGUACCUUGUCGACUUGACUCGACUUAUCGACUUGAAAACCUUGAUAAUAUGUAUCUAUCUAUGCAAAUGCAAGUAGUAUACUACCCAGCCAAUCCAAC
Molecule: long non-coding RNA, 4827 nt
Organism: Zea mays
Lineage: Eukaryota; Viridiplantae; Streptophyta; Magnoliopsida; Poales; Poaceae
Exons: 3
Source: RefSeq, a predicted model, not a curated record